RNAcentral lists this ribosomal RNA (274 nucleotides) under uncultured bacterium. Its description in RNAcentral is "partial 16S ribosomal RNA". It matches the Rfam family "Archaeal small subunit ribosomal RNA", at positions 473 to 747 of the family's 1478-position model. The record is from RNAcentral.
AAACCAACACCUCAAGUGGUCAGGAUGAUUAUUGGGCCUAAAGCAUCCGUAGCCGGCUCUGUAAGUUUUCGGUUAAAUCUGUACGCUCAACGUACAGGCUGCUGGGAAUACUGCAGAGCUAGGGAGUGGGAGAGGUAGACGGUACUCGGGAGGAAGUGGUAAAAUGCUUUGAUCUCUCGAUGACCACCUGUGGCGAAGGCGGUCUACCAGAACACGUCCGACGGUGAGGGAUGAAAGCUGGGGGAGCAAACCGGAUUAGAAACCCGAGUAGUCC